CAUACGGGGGCUGCAGUGGGGAAUAUUGGACAAUGGGCGAAAGCCUGAUCCAGCCAUGCCGCGUGUGUGAAGAAGGCCUUCGGGUUGUAAAGCACUUUCAGUGGGGAAGAAAGCCUUGGGGCUAAUACCCUCGAGGAAGGACAUCACCCACAGAAGAAGCACCGGCUAACUCCGUGCCAGCAGCCGCGGUAAUACGGAGGGUGCGAGCGUUAAUCGGAAUUACUGGGCGUAAAGCGCGCGUAGGCGGUCUGAUAAGCCGGUUGUGAAAGCCCCGGGCUCAACCUGGGAACGGCAUCCGGAACUGUCAGGCUAGAGUGCAGGAGAGGAAGGUAGAAUUCCCGGUGUAGCGGUGAAAUGCGUAGAGAUCGGGAGGAAUACCAGUGGCGAAGGCGGCCUUCUGGACUGACACUGACGCUGAGGUGCGAAAGCGUGGGUAGCAAACAGGAUUAGAUACCCCUGUAGUC
This 464-nucleotide ribosomal RNA is filed under the name Vreelandella stevensii. RNAcentral's name for it is "partial 16S ribosomal RNA". It matches the Rfam family "Bacterial small subunit ribosomal RNA", at positions 338 to 795 of the family's 1533-position model. The record is from RNAcentral. Lineage: Bacteria; Pseudomonadati; Pseudomonadota; Gammaproteobacteria; Oceanospirillales; Halomonadaceae.